UUUUCAUAAAACAAUUUUUAUAGAACGCUACGUAAAUAAUUUUUACAGCGUAAAAGCAAAAUAAAUUCCUACAUACAGUAGCACACGCAGCUAGGUAUUCAAAACAUUUAACAAUGACAUGUGGGCCCCCGAAUGACUAAAAGUAAUGAGGGUUGUGAACCUACAGUUUUUGAGGAUGCAAGUCCAACUGUAGCCAUUGACGAAAUGAGCUAUCUACAGACUAUCCUGAGCCUGAAAUGGGUGGAAAGAAGGGUGAUGAGAUUAUAUAAUCCCAGUGAGUAGACAAAUAUCAUCUAAAACUGAGUAAAUGGAGACAGAUAAAAUAGAUUAGAAUAAAAAUGAUUCACAGCAUUUCGAACUCAUUUUAAUAAGAUAAAAUAUAUUCAUUUCACCCAAAUAAAUAACGAGGCUUAUGACUUCCUGAAAAGCUUAGCUCGUGCCAAAAUCAUUCUCAUACUCGAUUGUCAGAGAUACCUUGGCCUAGGGCUAUCCCAAUCGAGUCCAACAAGGCUGUUAAAAAGUCAUGUAUGCAUAAAUCAUGUUUUUAUUUUGAAAACAUAGCCGUUCCUUGGCGUUUGUUGAGUUCACCCUCACGUGGUGGUUUGGCGUGAAGUGAACUCUAAAGUGUUAACCUCAGGAGUUAUCCAUCCGCGCCUCUCAUACUGAGGUAAGAUACAAUAGAAUCUAUCGUGCCCCUCUAAUAGGCUGGUCCAUGGAAACCCGCCUACUAUAGUAAGCUAAUAAUUAUCCCACCAAUCAAUAAAAUUCAAUAACAUAAUAUGGAAAUUAUUGUAAUUCCACAGCCUUUCAAGGCAAAAAACAGUUUAUACAUUUCAACACAAAUACCAAUUCAGCCAUUCAUGCAAAUAUUGUCAUAAGCCAUUCGAUUCAAAUCAUGAAUUUACAACACAUGAAAACAGUCUCCAAUUACUCUAUUUUCAAACCAUCAUUCAAUUUCAAGACAAUUUAUAAAAUCAUUUUAUUUAAACACAUUUUGGUUACAAAAUAUAAAGAUUCACCAUUUAACUCAUUUCCAUAAAAUCACAAAAUCGGAUAAAAACUACUUUAGAUAAUUAAGAUGAUAGUAAGGUUACUCACUGUACUGGGAGUUUGAUAUAUUCCUAUUCCCGGUCUUCGGGCACAAUCUCUUUACCCUUGUUAAAGGGCUCCCCACCUAUACAUCAUACGUGACACGAAUUUCAAUAAAUUGUGUCAAUUUAUCAUAAACUAUUUUAGGCUCUAUAAAUCUAUAUGAAUGCAUGAAAUGUGAUGCAAAAUGUCUGAAUAGCCAUUUAAAUACAGUAUUCGACCUAAUUCGUACUAUUCUCGGUGUAAAUGGGCUAAAACCUCCAAUUUAACUCCAAAUCUAUUUCUUUCACUUUCUACACUCCAAUUAUACUUAAAAUACCUCAAUGACUGUGAAUAUGAUUCAAUUUAUCAGUUCGAACCAUAAAUCACACAUGUCUACACAUUAGGUAAAAUCCGAAUUUUGAUGCCAAAAUUUCCCAUUAAAUUUUGAGCCUCGCCAAUCAUUAAAUACCACCAAAAUAUCAUGAAAUAUCAUCAAUUUCAACCUCAAUAUCCUCCCUAGAAAAUUCGGCCUCUUGUAGGUUUAUGAAGAACAAAGUGAUUCCUUGCUAGAUUUUCAUACUUUCCAUUACCAAACAACCAAAAACACUUAAUUAGCUUGAAAUCUAGCAAAAUCAAUGCUCAAAACCUCUCCUCUCAAAUUUGGCCAGCAUGGGUUCAUCAUGCAAACUUGAGUUCUAAGCAUGGAAAAUGAAAAAGAAAGCAUGGGUAGUGUAAAUCACAAGAUAAAAUCACAAAAUUUUACCUUUAUUAGCUUAAUCCCUUGAAAUCCCACACUUUCUCUUCAAUUUUCUGACCUAGGGUUUGUGUUCUUUCCUUUCCUCUUCAC
This 1918-nucleotide long non-coding RNA is filed under the name Theobroma cacao (cacao). RNAcentral's name for it is "long non-coding RNA (TCAC_LNC003870)". The record is from RNAcentral. Lineage: Eukaryota; Viridiplantae; Streptophyta; Magnoliopsida; Malvales; Malvaceae.